Molecule: ribosomal RNA, 456 nt
Filed under: uncultured bacterium
Lineage: Bacteria
Description: bacterial SSU rRNA
Rfam family: Bacterial small subunit ribosomal RNA
Source: RNAcentral
UAGUCCACGCCGUAAACGAUGUCAACUAGCCGUUGGGAGCAUAUAAGCUCUGAGUGGCGCAGCUAACGCGAUAAGUUGACCGCCUGGGGAGUACGCCGGCAACGGUAAAACUCAAAGGAAUUGACGGGGGGCCCNCACAAGCGGUGGAGCAUGUAGGUUUAAUUCGAAGCAACGCGCAGAACCUUACCAACCCUUGACAUCCUGUGCUACUACCAGAGAUGGUACGUUCCCUUCGGGGACGCAGUGACAGGUGCUGCAUGGCUGUCGUCAGCUCGUGUCGUGAGAUGUUCGGUUAAGUCCGGCAACGAGCGCAACCCACGUCCUUAGUUGCCAGCAGUUCGGCUGGGCACUCUAAGGAAACUGCCCGUGAUAAGCGGGAGGAAGGUGUGGGAUGACGUCAAGGUCCUCAUGGCCCUUACGGGGUUGGGGCUACACACGUGCUACAAUGGCAGUGAC